Molecule: ribosomal RNA, 442 nt
Filed under: Sicyonia mixta
Lineage: Eukaryota; Metazoa; Arthropoda; Malacostraca; Decapoda; Sicyoniidae
Description: partial 16S ribosomal RNA
Rfam family: Bacterial large subunit ribosomal RNA
Source: RNAcentral
GGCUGGAAUGAAUGGUUGGACAAAAAAUAAGCUGUCUCGGUUAUAAUAAUUGAACUUAACUUUUAAGUGAAAAGGCUUAAAUAAUUUAAGGGGACGAUAAGACCCUAUAAAGCUUUACGAUUUGUUUAUUAAAUCGAAAAUUGUAAGUUUAAGCUUGGUUUAAUAUACAUUUGUUUCGUUGGGGCGACGAGAAUAAAAUUUAGUAACUGUUCUUUUUUAGUGUAACAAGCAUAAUUGAAAAAAGAUUGAUCCCUUAUUAAGGAUUAAAAGUUUAAGUUACUUUAGGGAUAACAGCGUAAUCUUUUUUGAGAGUCCAUAUCGACAAAAAGGGUUGCGACCUCGAUGUUGAAUUAAGAGAUCCUUAUAGUGCAGUAGCUAUAAAGGAAGGUCUGUUCGACCUUUAAUUUCUUACAUGAUUUGAGUUCAGACCGGCGUAAGCCAG